CUGAACCAGCCAAGUAGCGUGAAGGAAGAAGGCCCUAUGGGUUGUAAACUUCUUUUGUGCGGGAAUAAAGGAACCUACGUGUAGGUUUUUGCAUGUACCGUAACGAAUAAGCAUCGGCUAACUCCGUGCCAGCAGCCGCGGUAAUACGGAGGAUGCGAGCGUUAUCCGGAUUUAUUGGGUUUAAAGGGAGCGUAGACGGGUUUUUAAGUCAGUUGUGAAAGUUUGCGG
This 228-nucleotide ribosomal RNA is filed under the name uncultured bacterium. Its description in RNAcentral is "partial 16S ribosomal RNA". It matches the Rfam family "Bacterial small subunit ribosomal RNA", at positions 383 to 607 of the family's 1533-position model. The record is from RNAcentral.